UCUCUCUCUCUCUCUCUCUCCACCCACAGUGAAAAGAGGCCACGUGAGGACACAGAAAGAAGGCAGCCAUCCACAAGCCAGAAAGAGGAGAGAAGCCUCACCAGAAACCAACCCUGAUGGCACCUUGGUCAUGGACUUUUAGCCUCUAGAACUGCGUGAGAAUAAAUGUCUGUGGUAUAAGGCACUCAAUCUGUGGCAUUUUGCUAGGGCAGCCUGAAUAGAUGAAUGCAGCCAGGCACACUGUUCUAAGCAUGAGCAACAGGGCAGUGAGCAAACAGAUGAGGUCUCUAUGCUCACAGAGCUUACAUGCUGGUAGCGGGAGAGACUCGUCCCCUGGAUCCUUCCACCCAAAGGUAGUAGUGGCUUCUUGCUUUUUCUGGGUGUCAAACUUCUGGGUUCCUUCUCUCUCGUUUGAUUUAUCACACUCUUUCAUUCCUAUGUAACACAUUCAAUGUAGUAAAUUUCCUUCUUCGAAAAUACUUGAAGUGCUUUCUAUUGCCUGGCUGGACCUAAGUAAUAAAAGUCUAUUUUCCACUGUGAUUUCUGAGGAUCACAGUAUAAUUCUGGUACCCAUAAAACAUGCAAAUAAUGCUUCAUUCAUUUUUCUUUUCUUUCUUUCUUUCUUUUUUUUUGAGAUAGGGUCUCACUCUGUCACCUAGGCUGGAGCGAAGUGUUAUAAUCAUGGCUCACUGUAGCCUCAAACUCCUGGGCUCAAGUGAUUCUCCCAUCUUAGCCUUCUGAGUAGCUAAUUUUUGUAGAGACGGGAUUUCAGCAUGUUGCCCAGGCUGGUCUCAAACUCCUGGGCUCAAGAAAUCCACAUGCCUCAGCCUCUCAAAGUGCUGGGAUUACAGGCGUCAGUCAUUUAUUCUUUUAUUUAUUUAUUUGAGACAGAGUUUCGCUCUGUUACUCAGGCUGGAGUGUAAUGGCGUGAUCUCAGCUCACUGCAACCUCCGCCUGCUGGUUCAAGCGAUUCUCCUGCCUCAGCCUCCCAAAUAGCUGAGAUUACAGACGUGCACCACCACGCCUGGC
RNAcentral lists this long non-coding RNA (1029 nucleotides) under Homo sapiens (human). RNAcentral describes it as "HSALNT0143430". Lineage: Eukaryota; Metazoa; Chordata; Mammalia; Primates; Hominidae. The record is from RNAcentral.